GGUAACCUGCCUCACACAGGGGGAUAACAGUUAGAAAAUGCUGCUAAUACCGCAUAAGCGCACAGUACCGCAUGGUACAGUGUGAAAAACUCCGGUGGUGUGAGAUGGAUCCGCGUCUGAUUAGCCAGUUGGCGGGGUAACGGCCCACCAAAGCGACGAUCAGUAGCCGACCUGAGAGGGUGACCGGCCACAUUGGGACUGAGACACGGCCCAA
This 214-nucleotide ribosomal RNA is filed under the name uncultured bacterium. RNAcentral's name for it is "partial 16S ribosomal RNA". It matches the Rfam family "Bacterial small subunit ribosomal RNA", at positions 120 to 334 of the family's 1533-position model. The record is from RNAcentral.